UAUAUUUUUGUUGAGUGUAUGUGUAAAUGCGGUGUUGGUCAGAACUUCAGAAUCUCGGAAAGCGGCGUCUCUGGAUGAAAAAGAAUUUGGUUUGUUCUAAACUAUGAUGUUAUCUUCAGAAGCACAUUCAGACGCAAUCUCUGUGUUCUACCUCACCCUUUUGAUGACCUUCGUCACGGAUUCGGAGGUCAGAGAGGCAGGAUGACCUCUGGGCACCCAGGUCCGGUAGAUUGACUGCGAGCACCGACUUCUCCGGUCCAAAAGAUAUCACCACGCAGCACAGUCAAUCAGAGGCUGACAGGAAAGAAGAUGUUACCAAGACAACUCAGAAACACGCCUUCUUUAAUAUGGAAGUCCUGACUGGUAAAGAAAACAAGUUAUGUGUUGUAGUCUAACUUAACCGUACUUGUUAUUGUGGAUGUGCAGGUGUGAGGACCUUGUCGUCAAAACAUCUGAGGAGACAGAAAAAUGGGAACGAUGAUGCAUUCUGGAUAAUUGGAGUGUCGAGAAAACCGGAUGACUUUUGAACGUUUUGAAGUCUCCUCGACGAGGGAGUGGAGAGCCGGACCAGAACACAUCAUCUCCUUUUCCAAGGGUGAUGAACGAGAUGUACUGAACCUCACUGAGGAAACAGCACCGGCAGGAUUCAGCAGUGUGGUAGGACUGACUUUGGGUUGCAAUGAUUAUAAAUUUAUAAAAAAAAUUUGCCCCCUCAGAGUUUUCAUGAAUGUUAACUAGAUCUAUUAAAGCUUAAAGGGCUUUCUGAUCAGUUUAUCUCUGCUGUCAAAUUGGCAUUUUUGACAUGUGAUUCGAUGAGGAUUAGCUCUCUUCUGGUGGAUGAGGGUGGAAAUGCAUUUUUUUUGCCUCUUCCUUGUUGGCUUCACUUUCAUACCAGAAUUAUGGGGGCUGUCGUGGUGGAAAUUAUUCCAUCUAACCACUCCCUGGUUCUUUGGAGGUGACCCUGAAGAGAGAUCCACACUUUAAGCUAGGGCUGGGCGAUAUGGCCUAAAACUAAUAUCACAAUAUAUUGAGGAUUUAACCUCAAUAAUGAUAAAUGGACCAUAACUGCAGGUAAGUUGUCCACUAGAUGGGGCUGUCACAUGUAUUAUAUUUAGUCACAUUUUUACGCAUCUCAAGGUGGUACAGCUUCUUAAAGGGACAUAAAUGUUGCCCAGCUACACACAUCUUUUCAUUUUUUUAUUAUCAAAUUUAUUGACAUGGGAAAAAUGAUCUCGAUAAGAGUCAGAAAUUUCGAUAACGAUACAUUUUCGAUUUAUUGCCCAGCCCUACUUUAAGCCCAUUAUAAUAUGUACACACACAAAGAUCUUUGGUUGGCUUCUGGUGAGAAGAACACAAGCAGUUCCCUGCCGAUGUAUCUUCUAACUUUCGACUCUUCUCGUCAGCCCUUUUAUUGAAUUGCAUGAAAAUUUUUUUUAAUUUUACAACAGUUCCACAAUAGACUGGGGCGUUCCCACUUCACAGUCAUACACUACUCCUCCU
Non-coding RNA from Nothobranchius furzeri (turquoise killifish), 1500 nucleotides. NCBI's taxonomy places the organism in Eukaryota, Metazoa, Chordata, Actinopteri, Cyprinodontiformes, Nothobranchiidae. The record is from RefSeq and is a predicted model, not a curated record.